This is a long non-coding RNA of Raphanus sativus (radish), 1253 nucleotides long. RefSeq lists it as uncharacterized. The transcript is spliced from 4 exons. The record is from RefSeq and is a predicted model, not a curated record. NCBI's taxonomy places the organism in Eukaryota, Viridiplantae, Streptophyta, Magnoliopsida, Brassicales, Brassicaceae.
CGACCCGGUUUUUAUAAACCAGAAUUAAAAUUCUGGUUAAUUAUUUAUUUGGGUUAAACCAGCUUAAAUCAUUAAUCAUCAAUGGUUUAGUAAACCGGGUAUACUUAUAUAUUAAUUAUAAGUAUUACUUUCUUCUUAAAACCUAAAAUAAAAAGAGAAGCAGCGCAGCCAUUCUUCAUCACCAGCAUCUCUGGCCAUCUCCACGUUCUUCUCUCUCUUAGCGGGUUCAACGAUCAUAAUUGACCUUCAUCUUCCUGGAGAGUUGUUCUGCAUAACACAUUUGAGACCAGUAUUGAGGAAAUUCGGGAAUGGAUUAUCAAAUCAUGGAAUUUUGAUGCCAAAUUUUCGUGAGCGAAUCCACAAACAGUCAACUUCAUCAACGUUUUCCCGUUUAUCCAGACUGACAUAGAAAACGAGCGAGAUACCAUUGGAAAGGUCUCGUUCUCAGCUUUCCGAAUCAUCUUUUAGAUCGUCAAACCGAGUUGACCGCAUCUUCCGUUGUUCAUCUCGGUCAGUGGCUAAGGUGAGGGCUAUCCCGUUUAAAUCUCAACUAGUUUAGUAUUACUAUUAUGGAAAUUCUAGUUUCGAAACAUGUUCCGCCUCUGUGAAUCGAGUCUGUUUGAGAGUCUUGUUUAUUUAUUAUUAAUAUUGAUUGUUAAACCGGAAUAGGAUAAUAGAGGAUUCAACAGUUGAACGAAUUGAGUGAUGUUAAAACUGUUAUAUAAGUAUACAUAUAUAUAAUAUGGAUUGGUUAGCCGGAUACAGGGAAGUACUUCUGUAUCGGCCUAUUUGUGUGGAGAUUACGGGGUGUACAGGGAAGUACUUCUGUACCACGUAUUAGCUGCGGGAGUAUAGGGAAGCACUUCUGUACUACGUAGCAAUUGUUUGUGUUGUGAUUGCGGGGUGUACAUGGAAGUACUUCUGUACCACGCAUGAGCUGCGGGAGUAUAGGGAAGCACUUCUAUACUACGUAGCAUUGUGUAUGAGGAGAAUACGGGAGUAUAGGGAAGCACUUCUAUACUACGCAUACUUUUGGUAUACAUGAAUAUUUAUAUAUCUAUAUCCGUAUGAGGAAAUGCGGGGUGCAAUGAGUAGCUAUGUACCAUCAGCGCAUUGAUUGUUAUGUGUGGCCCGUUAGGUGGCAUGUUUGUUUCAUGUUAGAUCUAUGCCUACAUAGUCGUAGUGCUAUGUACUGAGUCAGUGGUUUGCGGUUUAGCAUCCUAUACCUCACUGAGUGACUUCCCUGUUACUCA